This 208-nucleotide small RNA is filed under the name Arabidopsis thaliana (thale cress). RNAcentral describes it as "ATSL179240". Lineage: Eukaryota; Viridiplantae; Streptophyta; Magnoliopsida; Brassicales; Brassicaceae. The record is from RNAcentral.
AAAGAUCAUUUUUGGGGGUUAUUUUGCUUAAUUAAGAAUGAAUAAAUUUUGAACUUGGAAGGAAAUCCAACUACGCAAGUACAACCCAAUGCCAAAAUAAGCUCUCAAAGAGAAAGUGAAGAAGAAGAACAAAUAUUACAUGCUGUGGUUUCGGGUCGGGAGGAAUUACGAAUUUCGGCUUCGGCCAAAAACCUCCUGGUAUUUAAAA